RNAcentral lists this ribosomal RNA (403 nucleotides) under uncultured prokaryote. RNAcentral's name for it is "bacterial SSU rRNA". It matches the Rfam family "Bacterial small subunit ribosomal RNA", at positions 355 to 774 of the family's 1533-position model. The record is from RNAcentral.
UGGGGAAUAUUGCGCAAUGGGGGAAACCCUGACGCAGCAACGCCGCGUGAAGGAUGAAGGCCUUCGGGUUGUAAACUUCUUUGAUGAGGGAAGAAUAAUGACGGUACCUCAAAAACAAGCCACGGCUAACUACGUGCCAGCAGCCGCGGUAAUACGUAGGUGGCGAGCGUUGUCCGGAAUUACUGGGUGUAAAGGGCGUGUAGGCGGGAAUGUAAGUCAGAUGUGAAAUUCCGAGGCUCAACCUCGGCGCUGCAUCUGAAACUAUAUUUCUUGAGUGCUGGAGAGGAAAGCGGAAUUCCUAGUGUAGCGGUGAAAUGCGUAGAUAUUAGGAGGAACACCAGUGGCGAAGGCGGCUUUCUGGACAGUAACUGACGCUGAGGCGCGAAAGCGUGGGGAGCAAACA